RNAcentral lists this long non-coding RNA (7556 nucleotides) under Xyrichtys novacula (pearly razorfish). Lineage: Eukaryota; Metazoa; Chordata; Actinopteri; Labriformes; Labridae. The record is from RNAcentral.
UGACAAAGAAGGGGAAUACGACGAACAUGCAUGCGCACCUCAAGCACAAUCAUCCCCUCCAUUUUUCCCAACUGAGCAAAAAAAGUACCGCCGGAGGUGCUGCAGAGCCAUCGUCCCGACAGGUACCGUUUACUGAAGCGUUUGGCAAGCAAAGCAAAUAUAAACAAAACAGUGCAAAAUGGUGCGCGCUGACAGACAGCGGAAAUUGAAGUUUAUCACUUUUGGCAUGGUGUACUCGCAUUAUUAUGCCAUAUAUUAUCAUUUUCUAUAAUUUAAAAAACGGUGUCAAUAAUAUCGUUUAUCGGCAAUAAUUUGUAGCACAAUUAUCGUCCAGCAAAAUUUGUUAUCGUGACAGGCCUAGGCUUUACGUAUCUGAGAGACACACUUGUUCCUCAGGUGGCUAAAAAGUUGCCAGUCUGAGCUUUUUUUGGAUAUUCUUGCAGUUGCCCUGGCAAGAUCUUGUUUAUGAAUUAGAUCAGACAGUUGCUCUGAAAACCAUGGAUUAUCACGACCUUUAAUCUUGUAUUUUCUGAGAGGAGCAUGUUUGUCUAUAAUGUCCAAAAAUAAGGAAUUAAAAUACUGUAAAGCUGUCUCAGCAUCUGGAAUCAAAUUUACCCUGGUCCAAUCACAUAGAUAUAUGUCAUUUAAAAAGGCUUGUUCGGAAAAUGACUUAAAAUUACGCCUAAUUAUGAUACACUUUGAUAACUUUGUGUCUCUCACACAAGCAAUAAUGCAGUGAUCACUAACAUCAUUUGCAAACACAGCGGUAGCCUGGUAUUUUUGGGGAAAAUUGGUUAAAAUCAAGUCAAGGAGUGUCGACUUCUCAGGGCGUUUAGGGUUUGGCCUAGUUGGUGAGUCAAUAAUUUAAGCCAAAAGGGCUGAGUCACAGAAACAUUUAAAAGAAUCAGAAGCAGGGGUUAACCAAUCCCAAUUUAAAUCCCCUAUUAAAAGCAGAUCAUUGUAGUUAAUAGUUGAUAAGCAGUCAGACAAUGAGAGUAGUGUAUCCUUUAAGGCAGAAGGUCUAUAACAUCCCCCUACUGUCAUAACACAGCUCUUCGUAAAUUCAACUUUCAAGACAAGCAAUUCAAAUUGUUUAGGCACAGACUUGGAUAAUUGUACUGUUGCCUGAAAUGUAUUUUUAACAUAAAUUGCUACGCCUCCACCUUUGGCACAGCGAUCAGCAUCCAAAUAAAUAUGACUAUCAGGCGUAGAUCUACUCAGCCAUGUCUCAGAUAAAACCAUAAUGUCAGCACUUGUUGAUUUGGCCCAAAUUCUAGCCAUAUAAAUUUUGGGCAAAAGACUUCUCACAUUCAUAUACAAAACCAAUACGAGACCUAUUCAAAAAUUCAGCAGGGGUUUGUAGUGAUAUCACAUCAGACACAGGGCCUGGGUUAGGCUGAACAUUCCUUGAUAUCAACAAGCAUGAUCAUACAUUUCAACAUACGUGUUUCAUGAAAAUGCUUCUUGAUUUUCUUACAGACAUCAUUCAUCGUAACAGGCUGAGAGUCAUUUGAUGGGAUAAAGCAGUCCUUUAGGAGAAGAAGGCUUAAAAGAUAAUUAAAGUUUAUAUGCUUUGAAACCUGGCUCAUUUCAAGCAUCGAGCACCCUUGAUUGAUAUCAAAGUCCUGCGCCCAGCUAGUAACCUUUGACCGUGAUGACAUACAAAGAAAGCACAGGCAGGAGGGCGAGAAUUAUACUCGCCAUGAUUCAGAUUCAGAUUCAGAUUCCUUUAUUAGCCAUUGUGUAAAACACAUAGGAAUUUGCUUUGGCAAUAGCAUGAGUGUGUUCGGAUGUUUUUUCACAGAUAACAUAAAACACAAACAACACGAAAAAUAGAUAAAUAUAAAGUGCAGUAGGAUCAAUAGUGCAGAUGUAGUUCAGUGUCAAAGUCCCUAGUGGGCGGGGUGAGGAGGGAAGCCAGACUCAUUGAGCAGCCUGGCAGCAGAGGGGAAAAAACUGAGUCUAUGGCGUGCUGUGGUGGCCUUCAGCAGCUGCAUCCUUCUCCCAGAGGGAAGCAGGGAGAGGAGACUGUGGCCAGGGUGGGAGGGGUUGGCCAUGAUUUUCUUGCCCUCCUCAGCGCCCUGGAGUUGUGCAGGGACUUGAGGGAGGGCAGCGGGCGGCCAAUCACCCUCUCCGCUGAACGAAUCACCCUCUGCAGCUUGAUAAGGUCUCUUGCAGCUGCAGCAGGGAACCAGGUGAUGAUGGAGUGGGUGAGGAUGGACUCAAUGAUGGCCGUGUAAAACUGAGUCAUCAUGGUCCUUGAUAGUCUGUACUUCCUCAGCUGCCUUAGGAAAAACAGUCUCUGCUGGGCCUUUUUCAAAAGGGACAUGAUGUUAAUUUCCCACUUCAGGUCCCGGGAGAUGGUGACGCCCAGGAGCUUAAAGGACUACACAGAGUUUACCAGGGUGCCUCCCAGCGUGAUGGGAGGGGGAGGGGCUGUGUUCUUGUGGAAAUUCACCACCAUCUCCACUGUCUUUUGGGGAUUAAGGUCCAGGUUGUUGCUACUGCACCAACUGCGCAGCCGCUCGAUCUCCCUCCUGUAGGCCGACUCGUCCCCCUUGGAGAUGAGGCCCACCAAGGUAGUGUCAUCGGCAAACUUGAGGAGCUUGACUGACGGGUGGAGAGAGACACAGGUGUUGGUGUACAGGGAGAACAGUAGCGGGGACAGGACACAGCCCUGCGGGGAACCGGUGCUGGUGGACCUGGAGUUGGAAAUGCUUUUCCCCAGCUUCACCCGCUGAGACCUGUUGGUCAGAAAGUCUGUAAUCCACUUGCAGGUGGAGGCAGGCACUUGCAGCAGGGACAGCUGGUGCUCCAGGAUGGAUGGUAGGAUGGUGUUGAAGGCUGAACUGAAGUCGGCGAACAGGAUCCUGGCAUAGUUGCCGGCAGUGUCCAGAUGGUUUAAGAUGAAGUGCAGAGCCAUGUUCACGGUGUCCUCUGUGGAUCUAUUGGCUCUGUACGCAAACUGCAACGGGUCCAGCACAGGAUCAGUGAUGCGCUUCAGGUGAGCCAGGACAAGGCGCUCCAUGACCUUCAUGACCACAGAGGUCAGGGCGACAGGUCUAUAGUCAUUGAGGCCUGUGACCUUGGCCUUCUUGGGGAUGGGGAUGAUAGUUGAGGCCUUAAAACAUGCUGGGACAUGACAAAGCUCCAGAGAGGUGUUGAAGAUGUUGGUGAACACCGGGGCGAGCUGGUCAGCACAGUGCUUCAGGACAGAGGGGGAGACAGAAUCCGGUCCGGGCGCCUUCCGGGGGUUCUGGCUCCUGAGCAAGGCAGGAUGGGUGAAAUAGGCCUCAGCUGCAGAGCUGGGUAGUAGGCCUCAGGCUGCAGGGAUGGGUGGAUGAGGUAGGCCUCAGGCUGCAGAGCAGGGUGGAUGAGGUAGGCCUCAGGCUGCAGAGCAGGGUGGAUGAGGUAGGCCUCAGGCUGCAGGGCUAGAUGGAUGAGGUUGGCCUAAGGCUGCAGAGCAGGGUGGAUGAGGUAGGCCUCAGGCUGCCGGGCAGGGUGGAUUAGGUAGGCUUCAGGCUGCAGGGCUGGAUGGAUGAGGUAGGCCUCAGGCUGCAGAGCUGGGUGGAUGAGGUAGGCCCCAGGCUGCAGGGCUAGAUGGAUGAGUUAGGCUUAAGGCUGCAGAGCAGGGUGGAUGAGGUUGGCCUCAGGCUGCCGGGCAGGGUGGAUGAGGUAGGCUUCAGGCUGCAGGGCUGGUUGGAUGAGGUCGGCCUCAGGCUGCAGAGCAGGGUGGAUGAGGUAGGCCUCAGGCUACUGAGCUUUUCUUGUUGUGGGUACUGCUGCAGAUCUUGUCUGCAAUCUAGCCACACUUUAGCAGCUCCCAUAGUCUUGAGUAGGUUUUAAAGGCUAACAGGUGGCCUAUGGAGUAGCCAAACAAAGUAGAGCAGAGUUGUUUCCCAAAGGAAAAUGCCAAAAUCCACAACCUUGAUGCAAUCUUUAAGUAAACUAGAACACUGAAUAGUCCACAAUGGAAAAAUACUAAGUAUUAUAAUCCAAAAGGAAACAUUAAAAACAGACAAACACUGAGCAGAGACUGAACAGAGACACCACACAUGCUGCCAUCUUGCGCAUGUGCAAAACAGACGUCACUUCCUCUGCUAGCCAUCUUUGCGACAGCUCAGCAAUUAUUUGCUCCUAGCAGUUUGCGACAGCUUUGACACUAUUUUGGCAGCAUCAGCGAGCCCGCUUCAGAAUGGAGGCGUCAAUUUAUCAACAGCUACAGGCCUUUCUCCUGAUUGGAGUGCUUCCCCCAACUGAAGCAGAAUGGCGCACAGUUUCUACAAAGUUUCCACCACUAACUUAAUUUUAAAAUUGUAACGUGAAAGGCUUGAAUGAAUGUUACUAUUUUUUUUGUUGCCCAGCAGUCUGUUGUUUAUUUCAGAGUCCAUUGUUUAUUUCUUUUUAUGUUUUGUAAAUAUUUUUUGCAAUCAAUCCUGUGUCAUGUCCUCAGCACAUUGCAAUUUUAAGCUGAUCAUAACACAUUACAGGUAUCGAUAGAUAGAUAGAAAGAUCACACUAAGGCUUCACGAUAUAACAGUAUGUUUCCUCUAAACGAUAGAAAAUUUCUAUCGGGAUACAUGAGCUCUAUCAUUUCUAUCGCAGUGUCGCAAAAACACGCUUUACGGCAGUGUUUUACGGCAGUGUUUUACGUUGUGACGCUCCAUAUAUGGCAUGCCCACACGCGCUACUGCCAAUGUGAAAAACACAAGCAUGGAGGGGCCGGGUGUUGUGGCGCAAGAGACGACAAUUCUCGUGCAUCUAAUGCAGACGAGCCAACGCAGAUGGAGGAGCUGCUGCCGAAACGGGGGCAACGUCGGUUGUGUGGUCUUGGUUUGGUUUUAAAAGAAGCGACACGGAGCAGACCGCUGUAGUUUUAUUCUGAGUCAGUACAUGUAGAUCUAUAUCGAUAUAUUAUGAUGUAUAUCUGAUCUGAUAAGCGUGUUUGGCACGGGUUUGGACACUCCACCUGACCGAAUUAACACAGCUGAAACCGCAUUAAAUUAAAUAUCCAAUAAACAGUCACACAUGAUGAAGUUAACAAGAUACUUAAUUCGUCUCCCCAAUUAUCCUCCUUCUUCCUUGCGCAGCUUGAUAGGUGUUAUGCCGUAGCAUGCACCCCUGAAUCCCAUCGACUCAUUAGCUUCUUAAAGUGGAAAAAAUUAUCUCAUAUUUAAAAAAAACACGAGUAUUGGAUCAUGACAACAUGUCAAAUGGAGCAGCAAACUUUCGUUCUGUUUGUAGGUAUUUAAAAAAAUGCACAUACAGAGGUGUACUUGGGUAUUUAAACUAUGCUGUGUAGGUAGAGAACAUAUUUGCGGGGCAGCAAAUAUUCCGAAUCAGAGGGCGAUUGUUUUUGGCAUAUCUGAAUAGCCAGAAUGAAAUCAUUAAAGGCACACACUCUAGAAUCAGUCCAAUGGUAAGAAAAACUUGGAUUAUUCCGCCUUGUUGUGUACUUUCAAUCGCGCUCCUGUCAGGGGGGGCUUUGACGGCAGGGUUGCAUUCUAUGGCACAACACCUGACAUGUCUUCGUGUCCUCUCUCCGUCCUGCUGCACCUGCUGCUGUUGCGGCGGCUGAACAGAUGAUUUGUUUCAGUGAUCAGAUGAGUUAUUUACUUUAAGCCUACAUACGAAUAUUAUAAUAUUCAGUUUUGUGGGCCAAAUUUAUUUUAUAUGCCAACAUCUGUGAAAGAAAGAGCCAGGCCACGGAGCACGAUGCGUCAUUACGCACAGAUGGUUCCGAUUUUAAUGCCAUUAUUGGUAUUUAUGUUGUGAUCUGUGUGCACAACCCACCUUUGUCACGUGAGGUUUGAAUAUGUGCAACUUUACAUGAGUUUCUUUAUUUGUGGAAAAGGGUGUUUGUCUUACCAGUGGGUACAACCUUACACACACCAUAUCCAUCUUAUUUGAGAGUGAGAAGGACGCCCUCUGCAGCGCUUACAGCGACCUUAAUUGAGGAGCUGCCUUCUCUAGCCAUCGAGUGGCAUUACUGUCUUCAGACAUCUCUUGAUCUCUUUGACUACUUCACGAACAUUGCAAUACGCCUCGAUGGUGGUGGAUGUAAAGGCGAGGAGAGGAGCUUAUGUUAUUGGUCAAUACAGGUCUCGGCUGUGUUAAACCCCUCCACGUGCUCUCUCCUCCCUCACUCAAAUAUUUAGUUACUCAAAAUCCGUUCUACAUUACAUGCUGAUGUCAUGUGAAUGAGCUAGCCUAUGUAAUGUAUGGAUGUUCGUUUCAUUAUUAAACCUUGUGUAACUAAUUGUUGUUUACACAAAUGUUGAAUUAUUGAAAAGUGUUUUCAAUAUUUUUCAGAGGGCUCUAAAUAAAAGAAGUCCUGUUUAUCAACGUACCUUGUUUAAUAUAUCAUUUAAACUACAUUUCCACGCAGCAAUUUUAUAUAAACUAUGCAUCAAUUGAAUUUACAAAAAAUGUACUAUAUCGUGAUGUAUAUCGUAUCGGGAUAUAAAAUGAGCUAUAUCGGGAUAUGACCAAAAUCUCAUAUCGUGCAGCCCUAGAUCACACACUACAUAAAAUCCUCUGGAAGUGUGUGGCUGCCCUUCGAGUGGCCACAUAUCUCUGGAGCAUCCCCCCUCAAUACAUUGAAAAGUCAGAGAUCCAGGAUUUUGACUGUGUGAUGGCGCUCUCUGAGGCCGAGGGAGGGUGCACCAUGUGCAGCCACACAACCCCAGAGCAUUUCCCCUUGAUAAUUUGAAUGUCAGAGAUCCAGGAUUUUGACCGGGUGGUGGCGCUCUCCGAGGCUGGAGCAGGGUGCACCAUAGGCAGACACACACCUCCAGAGCAUCUCCCCUCGAUAUUUUGAAAGUUGGAGAUCCAUUUUGACCGGGUGGUGGCGCUCUCCGAAGACGUGGAAGGGUGCACCCAUAGGCAGACACACACCUCCAGAGCAUCUCCCUUCAAUAUUUUGAAAGUUAGAGACCAAGAAUUUAGACCGGGUGGUGGCACUCUCUGUGGACGUGGAAGGGUGCACCAUCUGCGGCCACACACUUACAGAGUCCCCCCCCCCCUCCCCCCUUGCCCUUGAUACUUAGAGUCUGAGAUCCAGGAUUUUAAACAGGUGGUGGCGCUCUCCGAGGCCAGGAAAGAGUGCACCAUAUGUGGCCACACACCUCCAAAGCAUUUCCCCUCGAUACAUAGAAAGUCAGAAAUCCAGAAUUUUGACAGGAUGGUGCAUCUCUAUAAGGACGGGGAAGGGUGCACCAUGUGCGGCCACACAACCCCAGAGCAUUUCCCCUUGAUAAUUGAAAAGUCAGAGAUCCAGGAUUUUGACCAGGUGUUGGCGCUCUCUGAGGCCGGGGAAGGGUGCACCAUGUGCGGCCACACACCUCCAGAGCAUUUCUUGUUGAUACUUUGAAAGUCAGAGAUCCAGGAUUUUGACCGGGUGGUGGCGCUCUCCGAGGCCGGAGCAGGGUGCACCAUAGGCAGACACACACCUCCAGAGCAUCUCCCCUCGAUAUUUUGAAAGUCAGAGAUCCAGGAUUUUGACCGGGUGGUGGCCCUUUCCGAGGACGAGGGAGGGUGCACCAUGUGCAGCCACA